UCUCUCUCUCUCUUCAUCUCCUCCACAGAGAUACAAACCUCCAGAAGCGGUUCCUUACCGGAGGACCUCGCCCGCCUCGGAGCUUACUACGAUCUCUUCAUUUUCAUCACUGCCGGAGAAGCAGAUAUCUGCUUCUACAGUAGCGCCUCUGAUUUGUUAUCCAUAAUCAGAAGCAGGAGACCGCGAAAUGAGCCAAGACGCCAAGAGAAGCGUUCCCGAGACUGUGCGGACGAAGCCGAAUUUUGACGAGCGAAAACCCUCGCCGGCUGUCACCACACUGGAUUUGAUUCGGAAAUAGGGUUUGGCUUAAUCUGGAGAUGGCUGUCAAUGUUAUAGAGCCGUGGUUUAUUGGUUUUGGCGGUUAACUCAUUCCUUGGCAAAUUUGUGUCUUCGCUUACGUUGGCGGAGGCUCUUAAUUACAAUCAGGUACAGGUAUUUGUGAGAGAUUUUGUUCCUACUAGUUUGGCCUGCCUUCCAGAUGGCUUAGAUGGGACGCCAGUUGUAUCUAUGAAUUAUGACUCGAAUUGGUUAGCAGGUGUCCCCCAGAUGUUGCGUUACUAAAAAGAAAUAUGCACGAGUGAGUGAUGGUAUAUGUCAGAAAUUGCUGGAGCUGAAACCAAGAAUGCCUCGUGGAAUUUUUUGUAUAAAUUUUAUGAUGCACAAGUUGUUCUUUAUCAUUCAGGAGUACAACAAGAUGUUGAAGCCAAGCCAUGUGUCCCAAUAGUUUAUUAAUAGAUAAAAUGUUGUUUUUCUUUAUUGACUAUAAAGCUCAAUUUUGCAUCUGGGUUUCUGUUUACUUUUCUCUACUUAUCGUGCUUGCUUUUCAUGGCAGAUGUAUUCUCCAGAGAGCAAUGCUUGCUCGCACAGCUAGUCUUUCUUAUUUAAUUAUUUUAUGAUAGUUAUGCGACUGUCAAAAUACAUGACUUUGACCUUGGAUCAUGCUCAUUUGAUCAGUUUGUAAUAGAAAUACCAGCUGAUGUAUUUGUUUUUGU
Rosa chinensis is the source of this 992-nucleotide long non-coding RNA. RefSeq lists it as uncharacterized. Lineage: Eukaryota; Viridiplantae; Streptophyta; Magnoliopsida; Rosales; Rosaceae. The transcript is spliced from 5 exons. The record is from RefSeq and is a predicted model, not a curated record.